GCGGAAGUAGUUCAGUGGUAGAACCCCACCUUGCCAAGGUGGGGGUCGCGAGUUCGAACCUCGUCUUCCGCUCCA
RNAcentral lists this transfer RNA (75 nucleotides) under Priestia megaterium. RNAcentral describes it as "Bacillus megaterium tRNA-Gly". It matches the Rfam family "tRNA". From Rfam's summary of the family: Transfer RNA (tRNA) molecules are approximately 80 nucleotides in length. Their secondary structure includes four short double-helical elements and three loops (D, anti-codon, and T loops). Lineage: Bacteria; Bacillati; Bacillota; Bacilli; Caryophanales; Bacillaceae. The record is from RNAcentral.